Molecule: ribosomal RNA, 430 nt
Filed under: uncultured bacterium
Lineage: Bacteria
Description: bacterial SSU rRNA
Rfam family: Bacterial small subunit ribosomal RNA
Source: RNAcentral
AACGAACGCUGGCGGCAGGCCUAAAACAUGCAAGUCGAACGAACCUUCGGGUUAGUGGCGCACGGGUGAGUAACGCGUGGGAAUGUGCCUCUGGGUGCGGAACAACGUCGGGAAACUGACGCUAAUACCGCAUAAUGUCUACGGACCAAAGAUUUAUCGCCCAGAGAUCAGCCCGCGUCUGAUUAGCUAGUUGGUGAGGUAACGGCUCACCAAGGCUACGAUCAGUAGCUGGUCUGAGAGGAUGAUCAGCCACACUGGAACUGAGACACGGUCCAGACUCCUACGGGAGGCAGCAGUUAGGAAUAUUGGACAAUGGGGGAAACCCUGAUCCAGCCAUGCCGCGUGUGUGAAGAAGGCCUUAGGGUUGUAAAGCACUUUCGGCUGUGAAGAUAAUGACAGUAGCAGAAGAAGAAGCUCGGCUAAAUUCGUG